Molecule: ribosomal RNA, 368 nt
Filed under: uncultured bacterium
Lineage: Bacteria
Description: bacterial SSU rRNA
Rfam family: Bacterial small subunit ribosomal RNA
Source: RNAcentral
AUACGUAGGGGGCGAGCGUUAUCCGGAUUUAUUGGGCGUAAAGCGUGUGUAGGCGGUUUAUUAAGUAUAAAAUUAGAGCCUGGAGCUUAACUCCAGUUCGUUUUAUAAACUGGUAGACUUGAGUAUGGUAGAGGCAAAUGGAAUUUCUAGUGUAGCGGUAAAAUGCGUAGAUAUUAGAAGGAACACCGGUGGCGAAGGCGAUUUGCUGGGCCAUUACUGACGCUGAGACACGAAAGCGUGGGGAGCGAAUAGGAUUAGAUACCCUAGUAGUCCACGCCGUAAACGAUGAGUACUAAGUGUUGGGAUUUCCCAGUGCUGAAGUUAACACAUUAAGUACUCCGCCUGAGUAGUACGGUCGCAAGGCUGAA